This 396-nucleotide ribosomal RNA is filed under the name uncultured bacterium. RNAcentral describes it as "partial 16S ribosomal RNA". It matches the Rfam family "Bacterial small subunit ribosomal RNA", at positions 523 to 918 of the family's 1533-position model. The record is from RNAcentral.
AUACGUAGGUGGCAAGCGUUGUCCGGAAUUAUUGGGCGUAAAGCGCAUGUAGGCGGUGCCUUAAGUCUGUCGUGAAACUGCGGGGCCUAACCCCGUAUGGCGAUGGAAACUGUGGCACUUGAGUGCAGGAGAGGAAAGGGGAACUCCCAGUGUAGCGGGGAAAUGCGUAGAUAUUGGGAAGAACACCGGUGGCGAAGGCGCCUUUCUGGACUGUGUCUGACGCUGAGAUGCGAAAGCCAGGGUAGCGAACGGGAUUAGAUACCCCGGUAGUCCUGGCCGUAAACGAUGGGUACUAGGUGUGGGAGGUAUCGACCCCUUCCGUGCCGGAGUUAACGCAAUAAGUACCCCGCCUGGGGAGUACGGCCGCAAGGCUUAAACUCAAAUGAAUUGGCGGGG